CAGCCGUAAACUAUGCGCGUUAGGUGUAUCGGUGACCACGAGUCACCGAGGUGCCGAAGGGAAACCGUGAAACGUGCCGCCUGGGAAGUACGGUCGCAAGGCUGAAACUUAAAGGAAUUGGCGGGGGAGCACAACAACGGGUGGAGCCUGCGGUUUAAUUGGACUCAACGCCGGGAAGCUCACCGGAUAGGACAGCAGAAUGAUUGCCGGGCUGAAGACCCUGCAUGACUAGCUGAGAGGAGGUGCAUGGCGUCAGUGACU
RNAcentral lists this ribosomal RNA (261 nucleotides) under uncultured archaeon. RNAcentral describes it as "partial 16S ribosomal RNA". It matches the Rfam family "Archaeal small subunit ribosomal RNA", at positions 748 to 1008 of the family's 1478-position model. The record is from RNAcentral.